Molecule: unclassified non-coding RNA, 311 nt
Filed under: plant metagenome
Description: partial contains 5.8S ribosomal RNA, internal transcribed spacer 2, and large subunit ribosomal RNA
Rfam family: 5.8S ribosomal RNA (bases 1-105)
Source: RNAcentral
GAAAUGCGAUAAGUAGUGUGAAUUGCAGAAUUCAGUGAAUCAUCGAAUCUUUGAACGCACAUUGCGCCCCUUGGUAUUCCAUGGGGCAUGCCUGUUCGAGCGUCAUUUGUACCCUCAAGCUCUGCUUGGUGUUGGGUGUUUGUCCCCGUCUCCGCGCGUGGACUCGCCCCAAAGUGAUUGGCAGCCGGCGUACUGGUCCCGGAGCGCAGCACAUGUCGCGCAAACGAGUGCCUUGGUACGGCGGCGUCCAUAAGCCCCUCUCUCACGCUCUUGACCUCGGAUCAGGUAGGGAUACCCGCUGAACUUAAGCA